ACGACCUUAUUUGAACAGGAUUUGUUCUAUAGACUCGUACCUCUGUAUCCUUGAUUUUGUGUUCAAAAAAAAAAAAAACUAACUCAUU
This 88-nucleotide small nucleolar RNA is filed under the name Brassica rapa (field mustard). Its description in RNAcentral is "snoRNA Plant_U3". The record is from RNAcentral. Lineage: Eukaryota; Viridiplantae; Streptophyta; Magnoliopsida; Brassicales; Brassicaceae.